This 429-nucleotide ribosomal RNA is filed under the name Chloroflexota bacterium. RNAcentral describes it as "Chloroflexi bacterium partial 16S ribosomal RNA". It matches the Rfam family "Bacterial small subunit ribosomal RNA", at positions 355 to 776 of the family's 1533-position model. The record is from RNAcentral. Lineage: Bacteria; Bacillati; Chloroflexota.
UGGGGAAUAUUGCACAAUGGGCGCAAGCCUGAUGCAGCCAUGCCGCGUGUAUGAAGAAGGCCUUCGGGUUGUAAAGUACUUUCAGUCGGGAGGAAGGUGUCAAGGUUAAUAACCUUGGCAAUUGACGUUACCGACAGAAGAAGCACCGGCUAACUCCGUGCCAGCAGCUGCGGUAAUACGGAGGGUGCAAGCGUUAAUCGGAAUUACUGGGCGUAAAGCGCACGCAGGCGGUUGAUUGAGUCAGAUGUGAAAUCCCCGGGCUUAACCCGGGAAUUGCAUCUGAUACUGGUCAGCUAGAGUCUUGUAGAGGGGGGUAGAAUUCCAUGUGUAGCGGUGAAAUGCGUAGAGAUGUGGAGGAAUACCGGUGGCGAAGGCGGCCCCCUGGACAAAGACUGACGCUCAGGUGCGAAAGCGUGGGGAGCAAACAGG